AUUGAACGCUGGCGGCAUGCUUUACACAUGCAAGUCGGACGAGUGGCGAACGGGUGAGUAAUAUAUCGGAACGUACCGAGUAAUGGGGGAUCACUAAUCGAAAGAUUAGCUAAUACCGCAUAUUAUUCGAGCGGCCGAUAUCUGAUUAGCUAGUUGGUGGGGUAACGGCCUACCAAGGCGACGAUCAGUAGCGGGUCUGAGAGGAUGAUCCGCCAAACUGGGACUGAGACACGGCCCAUACUCCUACGGGAGGCAGCAGUGGGUAAUUUUGGACAAUGGGCGCAAGCCUGAUCCAGCCAUGCCGCGUGUCUGAAGAAGGCCUUCGGGUUGUAAAGUACUUUUGUCAGAGAAGCGGUACCUGAAGAAUAAGCACCGGCUAACUACGUGCCAGCCGCCGCGGUAAUUC
RNAcentral lists this ribosomal RNA (406 nucleotides) under uncultured bacterium. Its description in RNAcentral is "partial 16S ribosomal RNA". It matches the Rfam family "Bacterial small subunit ribosomal RNA", at positions 30 to 526 of the family's 1533-position model. The record is from RNAcentral.